This 526-nucleotide unclassified non-coding RNA is filed under the name Hevea brasiliensis (rubber tree). Lineage: Eukaryota; Viridiplantae; Streptophyta; Magnoliopsida; Malpighiales; Euphorbiaceae. The record is from RNAcentral.
CAAAUAGUCACAAUCACUAAUCGAAUUACAACGUUUAACAAAAUAGAACUCACAACCUUAACAAUGAAGAUCUUCUAAAGCUUACAGAACCGAGAAUCCCGAAGCUGACAGUGCUUCUUCGCCUUCGAAUACAGGUCUUGAACGGAGAAGAGGGAUGAGAGAGUCGAGGUUGGGGAGUCCUUAGCAGGACUGGGAUCCCAACAUGUUUUUACCAACCCCAUACUUCUCUAUUUAUAGCCUCUGUUGGCGUCUGAUGCACGCAACUCAUACUUGGCCGCUAAGGUACUUGUCCGCCAAGGAAGCAAUCCCGCGCGUCCAUUUCCAUCAACGGUUCGGAUCUAACUUUAGUUGCUUUUCUUUGUUCUGGAACAGAGAUCCUUGUAUCCUCGUUCGGGAUCCUGGCUUCUUCCGUCUUUGUUCUGCAUCUAGGAUCCUUGCAUAGCCGUAUUUACCUCGCACAAAUCCACGGAGAUGCAUUAGACGAUUUUUAUAAGGAUUAAGUUUGGCAAAAACUCAACAUUUUGUG